CUCGCGCGUCCUUGACAUUUCACUAAUCCUUGCAUGCCCACGCACCAGCCCCAUCAUUUUCAAAGCAUGCCUUGCACUAAUUCCACCCUCAUCCACCCCCUAAACCCAGAUUAACGUAGAUGGCUCAUUCCUUUUCACAUAAAUUUUAGAUUUAUUUGUGAUUAAAUUACUGGGUGACCAUCAAAUCUUCCUUCCUUGCCUUCUCUCUCUUCCUGACCAACAUCCUCAAUCCCUUACAAAAUUUCAAGGGGUGCCUUGGCCUGUUUGUCCCACUCGGCUCGUCGUCCACCUUUUUCUCCUUCGCUCGUCUCCUGUUUGAAUCACUUUUAAUUAUUAUUUUUUUAAUAGGUGACGUUCCUCUGGCCCUUCUUUGGUCUUUCAGCAAGCCAUGCAAGCCCACCGAGCAGCAACAUCAUUUGCAAAGCGUGCCUCACUUUCAAUCCACCCUCAACAACCCACGCACAUCGAGUAAAGCAGCCGGCUUAAUAUUUUUGUAAGUAAAUUUUAUAUUUAUUUUCUAUUUAAUUUCUAAGUGACCUUCAACUCUCCCAUCUUUGCCUUCUCUCUCUUCCUGACCAACAUCCUCAAUCCCUUACAAAAUUUCAAGGGGUGCCUUGGCCUUUUUGACCCUCAAGGCGCUACGUCCGUUAUUUACGCUUUAGCAUGAACUAUGCUGAAAUCACUUUUAAUUUUUUUUUUUAAUACGUUACGUUCCUCUCGCGCUUCCUUGACAUUUCACCAAUCCUUGCAUGCCCACGCACCAGCCCCAUCAUUUUCAAAGCAUGCCUUGCACUAAUUCCACCUUCAUCCACCCCCUAAACCCAGAUUAACGUAGAUGUCUCAUUCCUUUUCACAUUAAUUUUAGAUUUAUUUGUGAUUAAAUUACUGGGUGACCUUCAAAUCUUCCUUCCUUGCCUUCUCUCUCUUCCUGACCAACAUCCUCAAUCCCUUACAAAAUUUCAAGGGGUGCCUUGGCCUGUUUGUCCCACUCGGCUCGUCGUCCACCUUUUUCUCCUUCGCUCGUCUCCUGUUUGAAUCACUUUUAAUUAAUAUUUCUUUAAUGGGUGACGUUCCUCUGGCCCUUCUUUGGUCUUUCAGCAAGCCAUGCAAGCCCACCGAGCAGCAGCAUCAUUUGCAAAGCGUGCCUCACUUUCAAUCCACCCUCAACAACCCACGCACAUCGAGUAAAGCAGCCGGCUUAAUAUUUUUGUGACGUCCCUCUUGCCCUUCUUUGGUCUUUCAGCAAGCCAUGCAAGCCCACCGAGCAGCAACAUCAUUUGCAAAGCGUGCCUCACUUUCAAUCCACCCUCAACAACCCACGCACAUCGAGUAAAGCAGCCGGCUUAGUAUUUUUGUGACGUUCCUCUGGCCCUUCUUUGGUCUUUAAGCAAGCCAUGCAAGCCCACCGAGCAGCAACAUCAUGUGCAUAGCGUGCCUCACUUUCAAUCCACCCUCAACAACCCACGCACAUCGAGUAAAGCAGCCGGCUUAAUAUUUUUUAAGUGACGUUCCUCUGGCCCUUCUUUGGUCUUUAAGCAAGCCAUGCAAGCCCACCGAGCAGCAACAUCAUGUGCAUAGCGUGCCUCACUUUCAAUCCACCCUCAACAACCCACGCACAUCGAGUAAAGCAGCCGGCUUAAUAUUUUUUAAGUGACGUCCCUCUGGCCCUUCUUUGGUCUUUCAGCAAGCCAUGCAAGCCCACCGAGCAGCAACAUCAUUUGCAAAGCGUGCCUCACUUUCAAUCCACCCUCAACAACCCACGCACAUCGAGUAAAGCAGCCGGCUUAAUAUUUUUGUGACGUCCCUCUGGCCCUUCUUUGGUCUUUCAGCAAGCCAUGCAAGCCCACCGAGCAGCAACAUCAUUUGCAAAGCGUGCCUCACUUUCAAUCCACCCUCAACAACCCACGCACAUCGAGUAAAGCAGCCGGCUUAAUAUUUU
This is a long non-coding RNA of Neocloeon triangulifer, 1939 nucleotides long. RefSeq lists it as uncharacterized. The record is from RefSeq and is a predicted model, not a curated record. The transcript is spliced from 6 exons. Lineage: Eukaryota; Metazoa; Arthropoda; Insecta; Ephemeroptera; Baetidae.